ACAUCACUUUGUAUUUGCCAUAGCCUUGGGCAGCAAUCAAGAAACUUUUUACCAGUCUUCUUCCCCAGGAGGAGUUUUGCCACAUGGUCUCAUCAUUAAAGCACUGAGGCUCCAGCCUACAAGUGGAGAAGAACUGCACUGGCCAGGGGAGCAAGAGCUACUGACCUAUCUCCUAAGAGAUGUCAACCAGUUCUGGAAAAGUAAGGGCAGUGGGGAACACCUGGAUUCCAGUUGCUACACCCACCUGCACCAAGGUUCUCCAUGUCAGACCUCUCCUGACUCCUGGCAUCUGCCCGUCCUUGAGUUCUUGGCCCUUCUCUUGGCAUGUGUCAAUCUUCGUAGACC
Suricata suricatta (meerkat) is the source of this 345-nucleotide long non-coding RNA. RefSeq lists it as uncharacterized. The record is from RefSeq and is a predicted model, not a curated record. The transcript is spliced from 3 exons. NCBI's taxonomy places the organism in Eukaryota, Metazoa, Chordata, Mammalia, Carnivora, Herpestidae.